Molecule: ribosomal RNA, 254 nt
Filed under: uncultured bacterium
Lineage: Bacteria
Description: partial 16S ribosomal RNA
Rfam family: Bacterial small subunit ribosomal RNA
Source: RNAcentral
CACGUAGGGUGCGAGCGUUGUCCGGAAUUAUUGGGCGUAAAGAGCUCGUAGGCGGUGUGUCGCGUCGGCCGUGAAAACCUGCAGCUUAACUGUGGGCGUGCGGUCGAUACGGGCAUCACUGGAGUUCGGCAGGGGAGACUGGAAUUCCUGGUGUAGCGGUGAAAUGCGCAGAUAUCAGGAGGAACACCGGUGGCGAAGGCGGGUCUCUGGGCCGAAACUGACGCUGAGGAGCGAAAGCGUGGGGAGCAAACAGG